Molecule: ribosomal RNA, 448 nt
Filed under: uncultured bacterium
Lineage: Bacteria
Description: bacterial SSU rRNA
Rfam family: Bacterial small subunit ribosomal RNA
Source: RNAcentral
CCAGACUCCUACGGGAGGCAGCAGUGGGGAAUAUUGGGCAAUGGGCGCAAGCCUGACCCAGCAACGCCGCGUGAAGGAAGAAGGCUUUCGGGUUGUAAACUUCUUUUCUGGGGGACGAAGAAAGUGACGGUACCCCAGGAAUAAGCCACGGCUAACUACGUGCCAGCAGCCGCGGUAAUACGUAGGUGGCAAGCGUUAUCCGGAUUUAUUGGGUGUAAAGGGCGUGUAGGCGGGAAUGCAAGUCAGAUGUGAAAACUAUGGGCUCAUCCCAUAGCCUGCAUUUGAAACUGUAUUUCUUGAGUGCUGGAGAGGCAAUCGGAAUUCCGUGUGUAGCGGUGAAAUGCGUAGAUAUUAGGAGGAACACCAGUGGCGAAGGCGGCCUGCUGGACGACAACUGACGGUGAGGCGCGAAAGCGUGGGGAGCAAACAGGAUUAGAUACCCUAGUAA